RNAcentral lists this ribosomal RNA (660 nucleotides) under Limosilactobacillus fermentum. RNAcentral describes it as "bacterial SSU rRNA". It matches the Rfam family "Bacterial small subunit ribosomal RNA", at positions 59 to 684 of the family's 1533-position model. Lineage: Bacteria; Bacillati; Bacillota; Bacilli; Lactobacillales; Lactobacillaceae. The record is from RNAcentral.
CAGUCGAACGAACUCUGGUAUUGAUUGGUGCUUGCAUCAUGAUUUACAUUUGAGUGAGUGGCGAACUGGUGAGUAACACGUGGGAAACCUGCCCAGAAGCGGGGGAUAACACCUGGAAACAGAUGCUAAUACCGCAUAACAACUUGGACCGCAUGGUCCGAGUUUGAAAGAUGGCUUCGGCUAUCACUUUUGGAUGGUCCCGCGGCGUAUUAGCUAGAUGGUGGGGUAACGGCUCACCAUGGCAAUGAUACGUAGCCGACCUGAGAGGGUAAUCGGCCACAUUGGGACUGAGACACGGCCCAAACUCCUACGGGAGGCAGCAGUAGGGAAUCUUCCACAAUGGACGAAAGUCUGAUGGAGCAACGCCGCGUGAGUGAAGAAGGGUUUCGGCUCGUAAAACUCUGUUGUUAAAGAAGAACAUAUCUGAGAGUAACUGUUCAGGUAUUGACGGUAUUUAACCAGAAAGCCACGGCUAACUACGUGCCAGCAGCCGCGGUAAUACGUAGGUGGCAAGCGUUGUCCGGAUUUAUUGGGCGUAAAGCGAGCGCAGGCGGUUUUUUAAGUCUGAUGUGAAAGCCUUCGGCUCAACCGAAGAAGUGCAUCGGAAACUGGGAAACUUGAGUGCAGAAGAGGACAGUGGAACUCCAUGUGUAGCGGUGA